AACCUAGAGACUCAUGCGAAAAUGCCUUUAGCCUAGAGAGCCUUCUUAAUAAAUGAUGGUAUAUCUCUCUCUUCCCCACCACUUUUCUGAGGUUCCCUCCUUUCCCUAUUUCUGUCAAGAAAGCUCUCCAUAAACAACAAAAAGGAAAAAAAAAAAAAAAACUUUCAAAACAUUAUUUGGAAGGUGGAGAUCAAUUCUAUCCGAAUAAUUUGUGCAUUAAUCAACCGUUCAAAUCAGAAAGCGUAUCUUCAAGAGGGCUUUCCCGUUUGGGAAUCGUAACAGUCACUUCUAGAGGUGAAAAUGGCAAAAAUUCAUGAAACGUGAAUAAGAAAGCUUGAGCCUUGAGCAAAGGUCGAGCUAGCGUGCCCAUAAGAGGUUUAAUCUCCUUUACUAACACGAGGCUUGGAAAAGAAACUUACGAGUUUUUCGAGCUAGCUGUGAUGACCUUCCAAGUCAUCUUGCCACAUAAGCACAUAUUUUAGACAUGUGGAUGCUUACAUGGCAAAGAUGCUAGCAUUUGUGGGAAGAUUCUAGAGCCAUUGAGAGUUUUCUUGGAAAGACUCUAGAUUCUUGUAAAAUAUCUAAGAAGACUUUCUUGAGAAGCCUUAGAAUAUUCUAGGCAUGUAGAGAAUUAUAGAGACGGGACCUACUUGUAAAUAUUGAGGGACUUGUGUAACAAUUACUCCCUCUAGGGGUGUAUAUGGACCGGGUUGGUUCGGUUUUUUUAAACAUCAAAUCAAACCAAUUGCAUCGGGUUUUUUAAUUUAUACACCAAACCAAACCAAUAAAAUUUCGGUUUUUCAACCUCGGAUUUUCUCGGGU
Lycium barbarum (goji berry) is the source of this 822-nucleotide long non-coding RNA. RefSeq lists it as uncharacterized. NCBI's taxonomy places the organism in Eukaryota, Viridiplantae, Streptophyta, Magnoliopsida, Solanales, Solanaceae. The record is from RefSeq and is a predicted model, not a curated record. The transcript has 3 exons.